UCUUCGAUGGUCUAGUGGUCAUGAUUUCCGCUUGUCAAGAAUACGCAUCUCAACAAGCGCGGGAGACCGGGGUUCGAUUCCCCGUCGGAGAG
Molecule: non-coding RNA, 92 nt
Organism: Glonium stellatum
Lineage: Eukaryota; Fungi; Ascomycota; Dothideomycetes; Gloniales; Gloniaceae
Source: the annotation of a GenBank genome assembly